GGAUAAACGCUAGCUGUGUGCUUAAUACAUGCAUGUUGAACGGAAUAUUUUAGUUCGCUAAAAUAUUUAGUAGCAAAUGGGUGAGUAACACGUACCUAACCUACCUUUUGGACUGGGAUAACCAUUGGAAACAGUGGCUAAUACCAGAUAUGAUAAAAAUUUGCAUGAAUUUUUAUUCAAAGGAGCCUUCAAGCUUCACCAAGAAAUGGGGGUGCGCAACAUUAGUUAGUUGGUAGGGUAAAAGCCUACCAAGACGAUGAUGUUUAGCGGGGCCAAGAGGUUGUACCGCCACACUGGGAUUGAGAUACGGCCCAGACUCCUACGGGAGGCAGCAGUAAGGAAUAUUCCACAAUAAGCGAAAGCUUGAUGGAGCGACACAGCGUGCAGGAUGAAGUCUUUCGGGAUGUAAACUGCUGUUGUAAGGGAAGAAAAAACUAGAUAGGAAAUGCUCUAGUCUUGACGGUACCUUAUUAGAAAGCGACGGCAAACUAUGUGCCAGCAGCCGCGGUAAUACAUAGGUCGCAAGCGUUAUCCGGAAUUAUUGGGCGUAAAGCGUCCGUAGGUUUUUUGUUAAGUUUAAAGUUAAAUGCUAAAGCUCAACUUUAGUCCGCUUUAGAUACUGGCAAAAUAGAAUUAUGAAGAGGUUAGCGGAAUUCCUAGUGGAGUGGUGGAAUACGUAGAUAUUAGGAAGAACACCAAUAGGCGAAGGCAGCUAACUGGUCAUAUAUUGACACUAAGGGACGAAAGCGUGGGGAGCAAACAGGAUUAGAUACCCUGGUAGUCCACGCCGUAAACGAUGAUCAUUAGUUGGUGGCAAAAGUCACUAACACAGCUAACGCGUUAAAUGAUCCGCCUGAGUAGUAUGCUCGCAAGAGUGAAACUUAAAGGAAUUGACGGGAACCCGCACAAGCGGUGGAGCAUGUGGUUUAAUUUGAAGAUACGCGUAGAACCUUACCCACUCUUGACAUUCUCGCAAAACUAUAGAGAUAUAGCCGAGGCUAACGAGAUCACAGAUGGUGCAUGGUUGUCGUCAGCUCGUGUCGUGAGAUGUUAGGUUAAGUCCUGCAACGAGCGCAACCCUUUUCUUUAGUUGCUAACAUUUAGUUGAGAACCCUAAAGAUACUGCCGGCGCAAGCCGGAGGAAGGUGGGGACGACGUCAAAUCAUCAUGCCUCUUACGAGUGGGGCAACACACGUGCUACAAUGGCUACUACAAAGAGCAGCAAAACAGUGAUGUCAAGCUAAUCUCAAAAAAGUAGUCUCAGUUCGGAUUGAAGUCUGCAACUCGACUUCAUGAAGUCGGAAUCGCUAGUAAUCGCAGGUCAGCUAUACUGCGGUGAAUACGUUCUCGGGUUUUGUACACACCGCCCGUCACACCAUGGGAGUUGGUAAUGCCCAAAGUCGGUGAGUUAACUUCGGAGACCAUUGCCUAAGGCAGGACCGAUGACUGGGGUGAAGUCGUAACAAGGUAUCCCUACGAGAACGUGGGGAUGGAACACCUCCUUUCU
Molecule: ribosomal RNA, 1507 nt
Filed under: Mesomycoplasma hyopneumoniae
Lineage: Bacteria; Bacillati; Mycoplasmatota; Mycoplasmoidales; Metamycoplasmataceae
Description: Mycoplasma hyopneumoniae 16S ribosomal RNA
Rfam family: Bacterial small subunit ribosomal RNA
Source: RNAcentral